This 490-nucleotide ribosomal RNA is filed under the name uncultured bacterium. Its description in RNAcentral is "partial 16S ribosomal RNA". It matches the Rfam family "Bacterial small subunit ribosomal RNA", at positions 30 to 507 of the family's 1533-position model. The record is from RNAcentral.
AUUGAACGCUGGCGGCAUGCCUUACACAUGCAAGUCGAACGGCAGCAUGAUCUAGCUUGCUAGAUUGAUGGCGAGUGGCGAACGGGUGAGUAAUACAUCGGAACGUGCCCUGUAGUGGGGGAUAACUAGUCGAAAGAUUAGCUAAUACCGCAUACGACCUGAGGGUGAAAGUGGGGAACCGCAAGGCCUCAUGCUAUAGGAGCGGCCGAUGUCUGAUUAGCUAGUUGGUGAGGUAAAGGCUCACCAAGGCGACGAUCAGUAGCUGGUCUGAGAGGACGAUCAGCCACACUGGGACUGAGACACGGCCCAGACUCCUACGGGAGGCAGCAGUGGGGAAUUUUGGACAAUGGGCGAAAGCUUGAUCCAGCAAUGCCGCGUGUGUGAAGAAGGCCUUCGGGUUGUAAAGCACUUUUGUCCGGAAAGAAAUGGCUCUGGUUAAUACCUGGGGUCGAUGACGGUACCGGAAGAAUAAGGACCGGCUAACUACGUG